This 473-nucleotide ribosomal RNA is filed under the name Escherichia coli. Its description in RNAcentral is "bacterial SSU rRNA". It matches the Rfam family "Bacterial small subunit ribosomal RNA", at positions 1 to 470 of the family's 1533-position model. The record is from RNAcentral. Lineage: Bacteria; Pseudomonadati; Pseudomonadota; Gammaproteobacteria; Enterobacterales; Enterobacteriaceae. RNAcentral also lists the same sequence under 1 other name.
AAAUUGAAGAGUUUGAUCAUGGCUCAGAUUGAACGCUGGCGGCAGGCCUAACACAUGCAAGUCGAACGGUAACAGGAAGCAGCUUGCUGCUUCGCUGACGAGUGGCGGACGGGUGAGUAAUGUCUGGGAAACUGCCUGAUGGAGGGGGAUAACUACUGGAAACGGUAGCUAAUACCGCAUAAUGUCGCAAGACCAAAGAGGGGGACCUUCGGGCCUCUUGCCAUCGGAUGUGCCCAGAUGGGAUUAGCUUGUUGGUGGGGUAACGGCUCACCAAGGCGACGAUCCCUAGCUGGUCUGAGAGGAUGACCAGCCACACUGGAACUGAGACACGGUCCAGACUCCUACGGGAGGCAGCAGUGGGGAAUAUUGCACAAUGGGCGCAAGCCUGAUGCAGCCAUGCCGCGUGUAUGAAGAAGGCCUUCGGGUUGUAAAGUACUUUCAGCGGGGAGGAAGGGAGUAAAUUUAAUACCUUU